Molecule: ribosomal RNA, 442 nt
Filed under: uncultured bacterium
Lineage: Bacteria
Description: partial 16S ribosomal RNA
Rfam family: Bacterial small subunit ribosomal RNA
Source: RNAcentral
CCUACGGGGGGCAGCAGUGGGGAAUAUUGGGCAAUGGGCGCAAGCCUGACCCAGCAACGCCGCGUGAAGGAAGAAGGCUUUCGGGUUGUAAACUUCUUUUGUCAGGGAAGAGUAGAAGACGGUACCUGACGAAUAAGCCAUGGCUAACUACGUGCCAGCAGCUGCGGUAAUACGUAGGUGGCAAGCGUUGUCCGGAUUUACUGGGUGUAAAGGGCGUGUAGCCGGGUUGACAAGUCAGAGGUGAAAUCCUGCGGCUUAACCGCAGAACUGCAUUUGAAACUGUUGAUCUUGAGUACUGGAGAGGCAGACGGAAUUCCUAGUGUAGCGGUGAAAUGCGUAGAUAUUAGGAGGAACACCAGUGGCGAAGGCGGUCUGCUGGACAGCAACUGACGGUGAGGCGCGAAAGCGUGGGGAGCAAACAGGAUUAGAUACCCCUGUAGUC